AGGGGGAUAACUACUGGAAACGGUAGCUAAUACCGCAUGAUGUCGCAAGACCAAAGUGGGGGACCUUCGGGCCUCACGCCAUCGGAUGUGCCCAGAUGGGAUUAGCUAGUAGGUGGGGUAAUGGCUCACCUAGGCGACGAUCCCUAGCUGGUCUGAGAGGAUGACCAGCCACACUGGAACUGAGACACGGUCCAGACUCCUACGGGAGGCAGCAGUGGGGAAUAUUGCACAAUGGGCGCAAGCCUGAUGCAGCCAUGCCGCGUGUGUGAAGAAGGCCUUAGGGUUGUAAAGCACUUUCAGCGAGGAGGAAGGCGNUGUAGUUAAUAGCUGCAGCGAUUGACGUUACUCGCAGAAGAAGCACCGGCUAACUCCGUGCCAGCAGCCGCGGUAAUACGGAGGGUGCAAGCGUUAAUCGGAAUUACUGGGCGUAAAGCGCACGCAGGCGGUUUGUUAAGUCAGAUGUGAAAUCCCCGAGCUUAACUUGGGAACUGCAUUUGAAACUGGCAAGCUAGAGUCUUGUAGAGGGGGGUAGAAUUCCAGGUGUAGCGGUGAAAUGCGUA
Molecule: ribosomal RNA, 560 nt
Filed under: Serratia sp. C5-4
Lineage: Bacteria; Pseudomonadati; Pseudomonadota; Gammaproteobacteria; Enterobacterales; Yersiniaceae
Also listed under: 2 other names
Description: bacterial SSU rRNA
Rfam family: Bacterial small subunit ribosomal RNA
Source: RNAcentral